RNAcentral lists this ribosomal RNA (253 nucleotides) under uncultured bacterium. Its description in RNAcentral is "partial 16S ribosomal RNA". It matches the Rfam family "Bacterial small subunit ribosomal RNA", at positions 524 to 776 of the family's 1533-position model. The record is from RNAcentral.
UACGAAGGGGGCUAGCGUUGCUCGGAAUUACUGGGCUUAAAGGGUGCGUAGGCGGCGCGGAAAGUUGGGUGUGAAAUCCCUCGGCUCAACCGAGGAACUGCGCCCAAAACUACCGUGCUCGAGGGAGAUAGAGGAAUGCGGAACUUAGGGUGGAGCGGUGAAAUGCGUUGAUAUCCUAGGGAACACCGGUGGCGAAAGCGGCAUUCUGGAUCUCUUCUGACGCUGAUGCACGAAAGCUAGGGUAGCAAACGGG